This 212-nucleotide long non-coding RNA is filed under the name Mytilus galloprovincialis (Mediterranean mussel). Lineage: Eukaryota; Metazoa; Mollusca; Bivalvia; Mytilida; Mytilidae. The record is from RNAcentral.
UUUUUAAAUUAAUAAAAAUGGUUUUUCAUUGUUUAAAGAACAACAAAAUCAAGCUCAAUAAACUGCUUAAUAAGUUACAUUGGUCAGAACACAAUUUGCACGUUCACCAACAAACAAAAAAUACAUAAAACAUUGAAAGCCAUAAUAUAACAUAUGAAAUGUGACAAUGUUUAAAAUUGAGUGUGGAACACUAGAAGCAUCAAGAAGUCUUC